AUGCUCGCUCGCAGCACAUAUACUAAAACUGGAACAAUAUAGAGAGGAUUAGCAUGGCCCCUGAGCAAGGAUGACAUGCAAAUUUGUGAAGCAUUCCACAUUUAA
Molecule: small nuclear RNA, 105 nt
Filed under: Heterocephalus glaber (naked mole-rat)
Lineage: Eukaryota; Metazoa; Chordata; Mammalia; Rodentia; Bathyergidae
Source: RNAcentral